GGCGCUGUCGUCCAAUCGGCAGGACACCCACUUUGCUCAGGCCACUGUUCGCCCAUCGGCCUGGAGUGGGAGAUGCAGGGUUCGAAUCCCGCCAGCGCCC
Molecule: transfer RNA, 100 nt
Filed under: Amycolatopsis sp. DSM 110486
Lineage: Bacteria; Bacillati; Actinomycetota; Actinomycetes; Pseudonocardiales; Pseudonocardiaceae
Description: tRNA-OTHER
Rfam family: tRNA
About the family: Transfer RNA (tRNA) molecules are approximately 80 nucleotides in length. Their secondary structure includes four short double-helical elements and three loops (D, anti-codon, and T loops).
Source: RNAcentral